CAGUCGCCGCGGUAAUACGAAGGGGGCUAGCGUUGUUCGGAUUUACUGGGCGUAAAGGGUGCGUAGGCGGACUGAUAAGUCAGGGGUGAAAUCCCAAGGCUCAACCUUGGAACUGCCUUUGAUACUGUUAGUCUUGAGUUCGAGAGAGGUGAGUGGAACUGCGAGUGUAGAGGUGAAAUUCGUAGAUAUUCGCAAGAACACCAGUGGCGAAGGCGGCUCACUGGCUCGAAACUGACGCUGAGGCACGAAAGCGUGGGGAGCAAACAGGAUUAGAUACCCCUGUAGUCCCUGUCUCUUAUAC
RNAcentral lists this ribosomal RNA (301 nucleotides) under uncultured bacterium. RNAcentral describes it as "partial 16S ribosomal RNA". It matches the Rfam family "Bacterial small subunit ribosomal RNA", at positions 509 to 807 of the family's 1533-position model. The record is from RNAcentral.